Molecule: ribosomal RNA, 392 nt
Filed under: uncultured Gammaproteobacteria bacterium
Lineage: Bacteria; Pseudomonadati; Pseudomonadota; Gammaproteobacteria
Description: bacterial SSU rRNA
Rfam family: Bacterial small subunit ribosomal RNA
Source: RNAcentral
AAUGGGCGCAAGCCUGAUCCAGCCAUGCCGCGUGAGUGAUGAAGGCCCUAGGGUCGUAAAGCUCUUUCGCCUGUGAAGAUAAUGACGGUAGCAGGUAAAGAAACCCCGGCUAACUCCGUGCCAGCAGCCGCGGUAAUACGGAGGGGGUUAGCGUUGUUCGGAAUUACUGGGCGUAAAGCGCGCGUAGGCGGAUUAGUCAGUCAGAGGUGAAAUCCCAGGGCUCAACCCUGGAACUGCCUUUGAUACUGCUAGUCUUGAGUUCGAGAGAGGUAAGUGGAAUUCCGAGUGUAGAGGUGAAAUUCGUAGAUAUUCGGAGGAACACCAGUGGCGAAGGCGGCUUACUAGCUCGAUACUGACGCUGAGGUGCGAAAGUGUGGGGAGCAAACAGGAUU